Molecule: unclassified non-coding RNA, 610 nt
Filed under: Hevea brasiliensis (rubber tree)
Lineage: Eukaryota; Viridiplantae; Streptophyta; Magnoliopsida; Malpighiales; Euphorbiaceae
Source: RNAcentral
GGGCAAAAGAGUAAAUAGAGAAAAAAAAAAAAAAACAAAGGAAGGGGACGAGCGUUGCUUGAAUUUCAAGCAUUGGAAGGUCCGAACAACGUAUUAAGCACCUAACCCCUGCCAGUUGCCACCCCUCCUCCCACACGCAUACCGCAUACCUUUGGAAAAUUCUCUGCGUUUUGCUGGGAAGUAAACGGAAAACUGGUAAAAUUUAAGCUUAAUGGCCAGCAGCUCAGCCGCGACCUUGGAAGAUGUGCCCUCUGUGGAUCUCAUGACGGAGCUCCUCCGUCGCAUGAAGUGCUCCACUAAGCCUGAUAGGCGCCUCAUUCUCAUCGGUCCUCCUGGAUCAGGUAAAGGUACUCAAUCACCAAUUAUUAAGGAUGAGUACUGCUUAUGCCACUUGGCUACUGGUGAUAUGUUGAGAGCUGCUGUUGCUGCUAAAACCCCUCUUGGUGUUAAGGCUAAGGAGGCUAUGGACAAGGGUGAACUUGUAUCUGAUGACUUGGUUGUUGGCAUUAUAGAUGAAGCAAUGAAGAAGCCUUCAUGCCAAAAAGGUUUCAUUCUUGAUGGAUUUCCUAGAACUGUGGUCCAAGCACAGAAGCUUGAUGAGAUGCUUGGG